GGGGUAGAGCACUGGAUGGGUAAGGGGGGCGCGAGCCUUACCAAACCUAACCAAACUCCGAAUACCCGUGAGCAGAGCGCGGCAGACAGACGGUGGGUGCUAAGGUCCAUCGUCGAGAGGGAAACAGCCCAGACCGCCAGCUAAGGUCCCCAAAUCACGGCUAAGUGGGAAAGGAUGUGGGAAGGCCAUGACAACCAGGAGGUUGGCUUAGAAGCAGCCAUCCUUUAAAGAAAGCGUAAUAGCUCACUGGUCUAGUUAAGCCGGCCUGCGCCGAAAAUGUAUCGGGGCUCAAGCCGUGUACCGAAGCUGCGGAUGCGAUCUUUGAUCGCGUGGUAGCGGAGCGUUCCGUAAGCCUGUGAAGGGUGCCCGUGAGGUCGCCUGGAGGUAUCGGAAGUGAGAAUGCUGACAUGAGUAGCGACAAACAGUGUGAGAAACACUGUCGCCGAAAGUCCAAGGGUUCCUGCGCAAGGUUAAUCCACGCAGGGUGAGCCGGCCCCUAAGGCGAGGCCGAAAGGCGUAGUCGAUGGGAACCACGUUAAUAUUCGUGGGCCUGGCGGAGGUGACGGAUCCCAACGCGUGUACGAUCUUAUCGGAUUGAUCGUGCUGUAGAGGGGUUCCAGGAAACAGCCCCGCCAUAUAGACCGUACCCCAAACCGACACAGGUGGACUGGUAGAGUAUACCCAGGCGCUUGAGAGAAUGGUGUUGAAGGAACUCGGCAAAUUGCCCUCGUAACUUCGGAAGAAGAGGGCCCCGUUGGGACGCAAGUCCUGGCGGGGGGCACAGACCAGGGGGUAGCGACUGUUUACUAAAAACACAGGGCUCUGCGAAGCCACACAAGGCGACGUAUAGGGUCUGACGCCUGCCCGGUGCCGGAAGGUUAAGAGGAGAGGUGCAAGCCUUGAAUUGAAGCCCCGGUAAACGGCGGCCGUAACUAUAACGGUCCUAAGGUAGCGAAAUUCCUUGUCGGGUAAGUUCCGACCUGCACGAAUGGCGUAACGACUUCCCCGCUGUCUCCAACACCAACUCAGCGAAAUUGAACUCUCGUGAAGAUGCGGAGUUCCCGCGGUCAGACGGAAAGACCCCGUGCACCUUUACUACAGCUUUGCAGUGGUGCUAGGGACUCAUGUGUAGGAUAGGUGGGAGGCUUGGAAGCAUGGGCGCCAGCUCGUGUGGAGCCAACCUUGAAAUACCACCCUUGAAGUCUCUGGCAUCUAACCGUGGGCCCGUUAUCGGGGUCCGGGA
RNAcentral lists this ribosomal RNA (1243 nucleotides) under Azospirillum sp. B506. Its description in RNAcentral is "bacterial LSU rRNA". It matches the Rfam family "Bacterial large subunit ribosomal RNA", at positions 899 to 2251 of the family's 2925-position model. The record is from RNAcentral. Lineage: Bacteria; Pseudomonadati; Pseudomonadota; Alphaproteobacteria; Rhodospirillales; Azospirillaceae.